Molecule: ribosomal RNA, 384 nt
Filed under: Photobacterium chitinilyticum
Lineage: Bacteria; Pseudomonadati; Pseudomonadota; Gammaproteobacteria; Vibrionales; Vibrionaceae
Description: bacterial SSU rRNA
Rfam family: Bacterial small subunit ribosomal RNA
Source: RNAcentral
UUAAUUGAAGAGUUUGAUCAUGGCUCAGAUUGAACGCUGGCGGCAGGCCUAACACAUGCAAGUCGAGCGGCAGCGACAAYAUUGACCCUUCGGGGGAUUUGUUGGGCGGCGAGCGGCGGACGGGUGAGUAAUGCCUGGGAAUAUGCCUUAGUGUGGGGGAUAACUAUUGGAAACGAUAGCUAAUACCGCAUAAUGCCUACGGGCCAAAGAGGGGGACCUUCGGGCCUCUCGCGCUAAGAUUAGCCCAGGUGGGAUUAGCUAGUUGGUGGGGUAAMGGCUCACCAAGGCGACGAUCCCUAGCUGGUCUGAGAGGAUGAUCAGCCACACUGGAACUGAGACACGGUCCAGACUCCUACGGGAGGCAGCAGUGGGGAAUAUUGCACA